This 221-nucleotide long non-coding RNA is filed under the name Ananas comosus (pineapple). RNAcentral describes it as "long non-coding RNA (ACOM_LNC030345)". The record is from RNAcentral. Lineage: Eukaryota; Viridiplantae; Streptophyta; Magnoliopsida; Poales; Bromeliaceae.
CUUCGGGCCGGCCUAGUAAAGUGUUUAUUUUUUUCAUUUUUUUAAAAAAAUUUAGUAUAAAAAUUUAAAAUAUAAAUAAUAAAUAUUUUUAUUUAAAUUAAUAUUUUGAUUAAAAUAUUAAAAAAUUAUAAAAAUAAUUAUACCAAAGUAAAUAUUUAAUUUUUUUAAAAAAAUAAAUAAAUUUGCAUUAUUUAUUUUUAAAAAAAGAAAAUUGAAAUAGA